This is a long non-coding RNA of Girardinichthys multiradiatus, 477 nucleotides long. RefSeq lists it as uncharacterized. The record is from RefSeq and is a predicted model, not a curated record. The transcript has 3 exons. NCBI's taxonomy places the organism in Eukaryota, Metazoa, Chordata, Actinopteri, Cyprinodontiformes, Goodeidae.
UCCAGUGCCUGGGUGUUAACCUUUGUGGUAACUCUGGCCAAGCUAUGAAAUUUGAGUCUCUAGUCAAAGUUACUUACCUUUUGUGUGCUCCUUUCUAGGAAACGUCAAGUCCUGGUCUCUAGUUCCUGUGACUCUCUGUUCUGACUCCAAGUCCUCAGUUUGGAUCCUGCCACAGCCAAAGUGUUCAAGCCUCAGGAGAAACCCAUUUUGGAAUAAGCCCCAGCUGACAGCUCAAGACCUUUAUCCCCAGGCAAGCGAACCCUGCUCACCCUCCACCAACUAUUCUACUGAAUCCUCACCAGAGCAUUCCCCGCCUCCUUGGACAAACUCCCCGGUUCCAUAGCAGCAUAAAGUCACUCCUCCCAGACUCCACAUCAUUUUCCCACUCCAACCACCUCUUCAUCUAACGUGCUGUGCCUCCAGUCCCAACUCCAGUUCCACAUUACGUUCCUGAACAAUAAUACAACUUUAACUUUU